Molecule: ribosomal RNA, 119 nt
Filed under: Betta splendens (Siamese fighting fish)
Lineage: Eukaryota; Metazoa; Chordata; Actinopteri; Anabantiformes; Osphronemidae
Source: RNAcentral
GCUUACGGCCAUACCACCCUGAGCACGCUCGACCUCGUCUGAUCUCGGAAGCUAAGCAGGGUUGGGCCUGGUUAGUACUUAGAUGGGAGACCGCCUGGGAAUCCCAGGUGCUGUAAGCU